Molecule: long non-coding RNA, 239 nt
Filed under: Prunus persica (peach)
Lineage: Eukaryota; Viridiplantae; Streptophyta; Magnoliopsida; Rosales; Rosaceae
Description: long non-coding RNA (PPER_LNC001047)
Source: RNAcentral
GAGUCAUUUGGUGGGUUGUGAGUGGAAUCCAAUCUCUACAACUAUGCAAUACACCAACCACUCCAUUUUAGAACGAACUUCGUACGAACCUGAAUUGUCCAAUUUCUUGGACCAAUCGAUAUCGGAUUGAGUCCAAAACUUGGGGAACAUCAUAAUAUGGUGGGAGGAGUCAUUUGGUUAGUUUUUAGUGAAAUCCAAUGGCUACAACUACGCAAUACACCAACCACUCCAUUUCAUAA